ACCUGGUUGAUCCUGCCAGUAGUCAUAUGCUUGUCUCAAAGAUUAAGCCAUGCAUGUCUAAGUACAGACCGAUUUACACGGUGAAACCGCGAAUGGCUCAUUAAAUCAGUUAUGGUUCAUUGGAUCUUACCCAAGUUACUUGGAUAACUGUGGUAAUUCUAGAGCUAAUACAUGCAACCAAGCCUCCGACCGCAAGGGAGAGCGUCUUUUAUAGAUACAAAACCAGUCGGGCUUCGGUCCGUUCCUAUGUGAUGACUCUGAAUAACUUGAGCUGAGCGCACGGUCUCCGCACCGGCGCCGCAUUCUUCUAAGUGUCUGCCUUAUCAGCUUUCGAUUGUAGGUUAUGCGCCUACAAUGGCUAUAACGGUAACGGGGAAGUCAGGGUUCGAUUCCGGAGAGGGAGGCCUGAGAAACGGCUACCACAUCUAAGGAAGGCAGCAGGCACGCAAAUUACCCACUCCCGGCACGGGGAGGUAGUGACGAAAAAUAACGAUGCGGGACUCUUCCGAGGCUUCGCAAUCGGAAUGAAUGAACUUUAAAUCCUUUCUUGAGGAUCCAUUGGAGGGCAAGUCUGGUGCCAGCAGCCGCGGUAAUUCCAGCUCCAAUAGCGUAUAUUAAAGUUGUUGCGGUUAAAAGCUCGUAGUUGGAUCUCAGUUCCGGAACGACGGUGCGCCCUCGGCGUAUUUACUGUCGUUCUGAACAG
Molecule: ribosomal RNA, 703 nt
Filed under: Heteromysis formosa
Lineage: Eukaryota; Metazoa; Arthropoda; Malacostraca; Mysida; Mysidae
Description: SSU rRNA
Rfam family: Eukaryotic small subunit ribosomal RNA
Source: RNAcentral